Molecule: small RNA, 920 nt
Filed under: Oryza sativa Japonica Group (Japanese rice)
Lineage: Eukaryota; Viridiplantae; Streptophyta; Magnoliopsida; Poales; Poaceae
Description: sRNA Os07g0485950
Source: RNAcentral
GCGAACCAGCGAACCAAAAUUGUCUUCGCUUUUCUGCCGAACGUGUCAAGCCGAGAGAGCCGCGCCUUGAUUCCUCCGCCCCGCCCUUAUCCUUUCCCUCUCCUCCUCCGCCACUCGUUUCUCUCAUCCUUUCUCUCCUCCGCGCGCUCCUCUCAGCUGGCGAGGAGCUCCGAUGAGCAAUGGCGCCGGUGAUUUAUUCAUUUUCUUGGAUGAUUUUGAUUCAUUGUUGUUAGAUUUGUGACUUUGUGAUUCAAUGGAUUUGUGAUUUUGUGAUUUAUUUGGAUCGGAUUUGAUCUCGUUCAAGGGGGCAUGGGCAUACGGGACGGGAUGAGCGACGCACAGGUGAAAAGGACACGCGGUGACGGAAAAAAAGUGUGACGGACGAAAAAACACAUGGUGUAAAGAUGUGACGACCGGAAAAAUGCUAAUAUUUAUAUUAGUUAGUUAUAGAUAUAGAUAUAGAUAUAUCUAUUUUUUUAAAAAAAAUCUUGGGUAUUCAUUUGAAUACCCAUGAAUUACAGUGGGUCCGCCCCUGAGUGAUGGUCCACAAAUCUUUAUAUGUGGUGCUAUAUCCUAUCCACCUUUUAGGACGAGGCAACAAUAGGAUACCACAACAUAUUUACAAAAAGCUGUGCAGAAACUUACUUGCAAAAAAAAAGGGCCGUAGAAAUAAAGAACACUGAACCAUACAAAUACAAGCAAUAACAUAGCUGCAAUAAAGAAACAGGAGGGAAUGGGGAUUUGGUGGUGUAGAAGGCGCAAUCCAGAUGCACUCAGAGAUGGAUCUAAAAAUCUAACGGUCCCAGGAUGAAGAUCCUGAUCUCCUAGACCAAUUUUCAAUAUUUGUGAUAUAUUUUCUAAAAGAGGAUCAAUUGUAUUUUGUCUUAGCAAGGAAAAUAUAAUAAGAUAAUUUACUUAAG